RNAcentral lists this small nucleolar RNA (215 nucleotides) under Dasypus novemcinctus (nine-banded armadillo). RNAcentral's name for it is "Small nucleolar RNA U3 (ENSDNOG00000026557.2)". It matches the Rfam family "Small nucleolar RNA U3". From Rfam's summary of the family: Small nucleolar RNAs (snoRNAs) are involved in the processing and modification of rRNA in the nucleolus. The record is from RNAcentral. Lineage: Eukaryota; Metazoa; Chordata; Mammalia; Cingulata; Dasypodidae.
AAGACUACAUUUUCAGGGAUCAUUUCUACAGUUCAUUACUAGAGAAGGUUCUCUGAACAUGUAGGGCACUGAAAGCAGGAGGAGGUAGCACAGCGUUCUCUCCUGAGGGUGAAGCCGGCUCUAGGUGUUGCUUUCUUGCAACUGCCUUUUGCCAUUGAUAAUCGUUUUUCUCUUUCGUUUUGGGAGAGUGAGACAGAGAAUGCAGUCUGAAUGGG